This 26-nucleotide small RNA is filed under the name Arabidopsis thaliana (thale cress). Its description in RNAcentral is "ATSL178350". The record is from RNAcentral. Lineage: Eukaryota; Viridiplantae; Streptophyta; Magnoliopsida; Brassicales; Brassicaceae.
UUUUUGUGUUUUUUUUUCUCUCUUUU